RNAcentral lists this ribosomal RNA (123 nucleotides) under uncultured bacterium. Its description in RNAcentral is "partial 16S ribosomal RNA". It matches the Rfam family "Bacterial small subunit ribosomal RNA", at positions 355 to 492 of the family's 1533-position model. The record is from RNAcentral.
GCAAGAAUUUCGGCAAUGGGCGCAAGCCUGCACCGAGCAACGCCGCGUGCGGGAUGACGGCCUUCGGGUUGUAAACUCGCUUUUGCGGGGGGACGACUACGACGGUAACCCCCGGAAGAGGCC